GUGCUGGAAAGGGUUCACACCUAUAAUCCCAGCACUUAUGGGAGGCUGAGGUAGGAAGAUCGCUGGAACCCAGGAGUUCAAGACCAUCCUGGGUAAGAUAACAGCACCUCAGAGAAGAUUUGGAAAAUAAAUGAGCUGAUGAGAGCAAUUUUCUGCUUCCUGGGCCACCACAGUCUUCUUUGCUGUUUUUGAUUGAAACCAUUUUCAGAGAAGAAUCAACACCAAAGAUCAUCAAGCCAUGUAGCAAUUGAGAUAAAGACCUAACAUGAAGAAUUCUAUUCUGAGAUCCAGAAGAAAUGAAUCACAGACCCAGUUUGUUUCUUUUCACAUCUUUGUCAUACUGAAUACACAC
This is a long non-coding RNA of Gorilla gorilla gorilla (western lowland gorilla), 352 nucleotides long. RefSeq lists it as uncharacterized. The transcript is spliced from 4 exons. Lineage: Eukaryota; Metazoa; Chordata; Mammalia; Primates; Hominidae. The record is from RefSeq and is a predicted model, not a curated record.